Molecule: ribosomal RNA, 497 nt
Filed under: uncultured bacterium
Lineage: Bacteria
Description: partial 16S ribosomal RNA
Rfam family: Bacterial small subunit ribosomal RNA
Source: RNAcentral
GAUGAACGCUGGCGGCGUGCCUAAUACAUGCAAGUCGAGCGAACGGACGAGAAGCUUGCUUUUCUGAUGUUAGCGGCGGACGGGUGAGUAACACGUGGAUAACCUACCUAUAAGACUGGGAUAACUUCGGGAAACCGGAGAUAAUACCGGAUAAUAUUUUGAACCGCAUGGUUCAAAAGUGAAAGACGGUCUUGCUGUCACUUAUAGAUGGAUCAGAGAUGCAUUAGCUAGGUGGUAAGGUAGUGGAUUACGAAGACAACGAGGCAUAGCCGGCCUGAGAGGGUGAUCGACCACACUGGAACUGAGACACGUUCCAGACUCCUACGGGAGGAAGCAUGAGUAAAUCUUCCGCAAUUCGCGAAAACCUGACGGAGCAACGCCGCGUAAGUAAUGAAGGUCUUCGGAUCGUAAAACUCUGUUAUUAGGGAAGAACAUAUGUGUAAGUAACUGUGCACAUCUUGACGGUACCUAAUCAGAAAGCCACGGCUAACUACGUG